This 910-nucleotide long non-coding RNA is filed under the name Rattus norvegicus (Norway rat). RNAcentral's name for it is "long non-coding RNA NONRATT011728". Lineage: Eukaryota; Metazoa; Chordata; Mammalia; Rodentia; Muridae. The record is from RNAcentral.
GGUUUUGAAAGUCAUCGCAUUUAAGCCCAAGGGGUAUUUUAGUGACGCCUGGAACACGUUUGACUCCCUCAUCGUAAUCGGCAGCAUUAUAGACGUGGCACUCAGCGAAGCUGACAAAAUUGUAGCGGCAAGUAUAUAUAAUCAAUAUAUACGGUGAAGUCGUUAAGCAAAAGCGCUUCUAGAGACUGUAUACCUUGUUUCUGCCUUCCCACCUUUGGUGUUUCACUGAGUUUCACAGGACUUGCUAAGGAUCAGCCAUGGUCGCCUAUACUGUUUCUCCUCCCAUAUGUCCUCGUGCCUGGCUGGGGCCUGAGCUCAGACUUCUUUGGUCAGUCAUACUGAUUCUGUGACUUGCCACACGGGAGCUCGACUUGUUAGCAUUCUUUGCCAUGGAAAAAAGAUUAAGGGGUGGCCCUUUGCAUUGUCCUGUUUGCAUGCUCACCUGGGUCUUUCCAUCGCGAUAUCUUCCCAUGCUCCCCACCCUGUCUGUUCCUGGUGUGACAGCUCUCCUGGGCCUGUCCCCUUCACCGUGGUUUGUCAUACCACCAAGCUGCUGAAUGUUGGAUGACACCCCAUUGGCUGACUUUGCUUUCUCUUCGAUGCCUGGUUUGUUCCUUGGGUUCUGAAAUGAUCAAGCAACAGGGGUUCUGACCCGGGGAUGGAUGUCUGUUGCCCACGUUUAGUCUUUUUUCCAUCCCAUUGUUGCCUAAGCGGGUGAGGGGUGGUCUUGCUUAGAAACCACAGCUGCUUUGUGUUAUCAAAGAACAUGUAAAAAAAAAUGAGCAGGAGCUCGCCCCCCAGAUCCUAGGAGUUGAUGCUGCCCUGUCGCGUGCCCAGCUUAGACCGGGUCAACACCGCGUCACUCUGUUGUCAGAAUGAGCUCUCAAGUCCAUCUCGUAGCCAGGAACUG